GCUUGUCUCAAAGAUUAAGCCAUGCAUGUCUAAGUAUAAAUGCUAUACAAUGAAACUGCGAAUGGCUCAUUAAAACAGUUAUAGUUUAUUUGGUAAUAAAAUUACAUGGAUAACCGUGGUAAUUCUAGAGCUAAUACAUGCUGUUAAGCCUGACUUCUUGAAGGGCUGUAUUUAUUAGAUAACAGACCAAUAUUCCUCGUGUCUAUUGUGGUGACUCAUAGUAACUGAUCGGAUCGCACGGGCUUGCCCGCGACAAACCAUUCAAGUUUCUGACCUAUCAGCUUCCGACGGUAGGGUAUUGGCCUACCGUGGCAAUGACGGGUAACGGAGAAUUAGGGUUCGAUUCCGGAGAGGGAGCCUGAGAAACGGCUACCACAUCCAAGGAAGGCAGCAGG
RNAcentral lists this ribosomal RNA (395 nucleotides) under uncultured Euglyphida. Its description in RNAcentral is "partial small subunit ribosomal RNA". It matches the Rfam family "Eukaryotic small subunit ribosomal RNA", at positions 30 to 432 of the family's 1831-position model. The record is from RNAcentral. Lineage: Eukaryota; Cercozoa; Imbricatea; Euglyphida.